Molecule: ribosomal RNA, 253 nt
Filed under: uncultured bacterium
Lineage: Bacteria
Description: partial 16S ribosomal RNA
Rfam family: Bacterial small subunit ribosomal RNA
Source: RNAcentral
UACGUAGGGUCCGAGCGUUAAUCGGAAUUACUGGGCGUAAAGCGUGCGCAGGCGGUUUUGUAAGCCAGAUGUGAAAUCCCCGGGCUUAACUUGGGAACUGCAUUUGGGACUGCAAGGCUGGAGUACGGCAGAGGGAGGUGGAAUUCCACGUGUAGCAGUGAAAUGCGUAGAGAUGUGGAGGAACACCGAUGGCGAAGGCAGCCUCCUGGGCUAGUACUGACGCUCAUGCACGAAAGCGUGGGGAGCAAACAGG